This 427-nucleotide ribosomal RNA is filed under the name uncultured marine bacterium. RNAcentral describes it as "bacterial SSU rRNA". It matches the Rfam family "Bacterial small subunit ribosomal RNA", at positions 360 to 804 of the family's 1533-position model. The record is from RNAcentral.
AAUAUUGCACAAUGGGCGCAAGCGUGAUCCAGACAUGCCGCUUGGGUGACGAAGGCCUUAGGGUUAUAAACCCCUUUCAGCGGGGAAGAUAAUGACGGUACCCGCAGAAGAAGCCCCGGCUAACUCCGUGCCACCACCGGCGGUAAUAUGGAGGGGGCUAGCGUUUUUCGGAAUUAUUGGGCGUAAACCGCGUGUAGGCGGACCUGCAAGUCGGGGGUGAAAGCCCGAGGCUCAACCUCGGAACUGCCUUCGAUACUGCGGGUCUUGAGUCCGGGAGAGGUGAGUGGAAUUCCUAGUGUAGAGGUGAAAUUCGUAGAUAUUAGGAAGAACACCAGUGGCGAAGGCGGCUCACUGGCCCGGUACUGACGCUGAGGCGCGAAAGCGUGGGGAGCAAACAGGAUUAGAUACCCUGGUAGUCCACGCCGUA